AAUUCGAUGCAACGCGAAGAACCUUACCUACUCUUGACAUCCACAGAAUUCGGCAGAGAUGCCUUAGUGCCUUCGGGAACUGUGAGACAGGUGCUGCAUGGCUGUCGUCAGCUCGUGUUGUGAAAUGUUGGGUUAAGUCCCGCAACGAGCGCAACCCUUAUCCUUUGUUGCCAGCACGUAAUGGUGGGAACUCAAAGGAGACUGCCGGUGAUAAACCGGAGGAAGGUGGGGAUGACGUCAAGUCAUCAUGGCCCUUACGAGUAGGGCUACACACGUGCUNCNANNGNNUAUACAAAGAGAAGCGAACUCGCGAGAGCCANNNNNNNNNNUAAAGUACGUCGUAGUCCGGAUCGGAGUCUGCAACUCGACUCCGNGAAGUCGGAAUCGC
RNAcentral lists this ribosomal RNA (388 nucleotides) under Serratia sp. AZTITEMP211. RNAcentral describes it as "partial 16S ribosomal RNA". It matches the Rfam family "Bacterial small subunit ribosomal RNA", at positions 948 to 1335 of the family's 1533-position model. The record is from RNAcentral. Lineage: Bacteria; Pseudomonadati; Pseudomonadota; Gammaproteobacteria; Enterobacterales; Yersiniaceae.